UGUAAAUAGUGUCCAGGCGGGAUUUCUGGAAAACGGCAAAAUGCCUGGGAAAACCCAGAUGUAUGGCAACGGGGCUGUUUUUGUGUUGAAAAUACUAAUAAUAAUAGUAAUAAAGCUCAAAAACUUUUGUCUGGAUCUUCACUUUUUGAAAUAUGGCAACCCCAUUACAUGCACAAAAAUAUAGUGGUACCUUGGGUUAUGAACUUAAGGUAAUUCAUUCCGGAGGUCCGUUCUUAACUCAAAACUGUUCUUAACCUGAGGCGCGCUUUCGCUAAUGGGGCCUCCUGCUGCCACUGCACAAUUUACGUUCUCAUCCUGGGGCAAAGUUCUCAACCCAAGGUACUACUUCCGGGUUAGCAGAGUUUGUAACCCGAAGUGUUUGUAACCUGAAGCGUUUGUAACCCAAGGUACCACUGUAACUAACUAGCUAGCUAACUAACACACUUCCCCCUAGCAGGUACAUUUUUGGGCACAUUACUUGGUAUUUUGCAGUGCAGUUCUGCAGCCAAGAAGUGCAAAUUACUAACAAUAGGUGGUGUUUUGGUCCAUGUAUUGCUUCAAAAAGUGCAAAUUACGUAAGUUUGCCUUUUAAUGCAAACUGAAUUGACUUCCUCUCCCAUCUCUACUCUAGAUACAAGGAGAAAGAUCCUAACCCCCCUGAGGAAGAGGAAACUCCUUGCAUUGAGGAGUUAUUACAGCCAAAUCAAUAAACAGA
Podarcis lilfordi (Lilford's wall lizard) is the source of this 715-nucleotide non-coding RNA. The record is from the annotation of a GenBank genome assembly. NCBI's taxonomy places the organism in Eukaryota, Metazoa, Chordata, Lepidosauria, Squamata, Lacertidae.